This is a long non-coding RNA of Carlito syrichta (Philippine tarsier), 3601 nucleotides long. RefSeq lists it as uncharacterized. The record is from RefSeq and is a predicted model, not a curated record. NCBI's taxonomy places the organism in Eukaryota, Metazoa, Chordata, Mammalia, Primates, Tarsiidae. The transcript has 3 exons.
CCCUGUAGCUCAGUCAAAGGCCCACGGUGGAAGAACUUCGAGAAAGGAAGAUCCUCAUCCGCUUCAGUGACUAUGUGGAGGUGGCCGACGCUCAGGACUAUGACCGCAGGGCAGACAAGCCUUGGACCCGCCUCACCGCUGCUGACAAAGCUGCCAUCCGAAAGGAGCUUAAUGAAUUUAAAAGCACUGAAAUGGAAGUUCAUGAGUUGAGUAGACACUUAACAAGGUUUCACCGACCUUAACAGUCAAAUUCCUCUUGAGUGCUAUGCUGUCUUCACAACAUAAAUUUAUAAGAACCAUAAGUGCUGGUAUUUAUUCACUUCCCCAUUACGAUGUAAAUCUUCUGAACUGCCUUUUUUAAAAAGAAGAAGAAAAGAAAAGGAAACAAUCAGGAUUCCAUGUGCGAAAACGCGAAGGUGACUGCACAGCGAUUCAAGCUACUGGCCCCACUUCUGACACCAAGACGUGUCCUACCCCCAGCAGGGCCCUGACUGAAGAUUUUCCAGCACAGGUGGAGCGGUCCUCAUCCUCUCCGGUCAGGCCCCCAGGCACCAUGUUCGUUUGGCCUCCAGCGAACCUCUUCCUCACAAGUGUCUGCCACCUGAGUCCAAAGAAAGCUGAGGGGGGCGGGCUUGGCUUGGGGGCCCUCUGUAAAGUUGAUGGUCUAGUUGUCCUUCUAGACUUGGCCAAAUGUACUGGUUCCAGAUGUGGCUUCUGGCUUGGGGUCCCCUUGGGAGGGUGAUGCCGAGAGGGAGGGAGCACUUCUCCAUUGCCCGGGCCAUCCCUUCCCUCCAGGCACCACCCACACAGUGAACAAAAGGGAAGGGCUUGUUUCUGGGGGAGUCUGGUUGCCUCUUGGUCCUAGGAGUGUGUGUGUUCCAGGUGAAGAAGGCUGACCCCAUCCCACCCCCUCAGCCUGAGCUGAGCUGCCUUCCAGGAAGCUCAGUGUAGAAGGGAAAGCUGUCAUCCGCUUGGUUCAAAGUAAUCGGCCCAUCUGUGUGCAGAGAGCCGAAUGUCACGGGUGAUUCAUGCACACACACAGCCAUUGCUCAGGUACUUUUGUGAUAGUGUAAGUCUGAGCAGGAGGAAUCUGUCGAGAUCAGAAAGGCUGGGGUCAGAAACUCUGCUUGGCCAAUGUUCAUUUUCUCUGUGCGCCCCAGGGCCCGUGACUGUAUGGCUUGGGUGUCCAUGGUUGCAAGCAUGGAACCAAUGUGUGUAGGCCAGAAACCAUUCCUGCAAGACUGGCUUUCCAGCCCUGAGGGGCCAGUACUCCAGAACAAUUCCAUGGCCUUCUUUUCUCCUUUCUUUGCACGGAAGAGUUCCUAUGGAGGAUCCCCAGAAUUCAGCCCGUGCCCGAAUCGGGCCAACACCAGCCAUGCCUGCCCUGCUCCAAUUAAUCCAGAGAAAAUCCUUCCUCUCCCUCCUGAUGCUGGUGAGGGUGAUUGGAAGUGUGUGUCUAACUAUCUGAUGCAGUUGAUAAGGACACCGAGGGCGGGGUGUGCACUGAGGGAAGGACCUUACUAAACCCUAACAAGCAUCCCAGUGGGGCCCACUGCAGUGUUUUGGUUUUGUUUUUUCUUCUCUUCCUGAGAGAGCUCACAGGCCCUCGGGAGUGGCUCUGUCAUUAUCCCAAUCUCAUUCAGUGACAGUUUUCUCUCUACCACACAUACCCAGGAUUUAGAAAGGUACCCCUUGGCCUUCCCAAAAUGAGUUAACCUGUCCUCACCGUGAGCUGUGUGGGAGCAAGUUACUCUUGGGAUUCAGACUCAUCAGUGAGGCCAGUGGAUUUUCGGCAGGCAUGAACGGCUCCCACGGCCGGCACUAGCCCAGGAGCCAGAUGGCUGCUGGGGAGAGCUCAGGGCAGCUAUUUAGGCAGUGCCUCCAGCCACAGAUCUUCCUUGCCACCUGGAGCCAGCACGCCUCUGCCCAGCCAAGGAGGAUGCUGUCACUAGAUUCUUUUUUUUUUAAUUUGCCUAUCGAAUCUGAGAAUAGUUCCUGCCGCAGGGAGAGGUAUUGUUCAGGGAAAAUGUGGUCAGGAUUUUAGUGUGACUGUAAACACAGUCUUCCCGAAAGGCUUAUUGACAUUUGAAUGUGCAAAUGGUAUGACGAAAGAUGUAGGGCUCUUUCGUUGAACUUCUCUACGGCAGCCAGCAAGCGGGCACGUGUACCAGGCAGAGGUGCCCGCCAGGCCAGGCCUUGAGUCUGAGCUUCCUCUGACUACAGUGGGCUUCAAGGGCACAUGGUGUCCUGGCAUGAUGGUCAGGCCUUCCCCUGGCCAGGAACGAGUCCUAAGAAAACUCAUUCCAUUGAUAGGACUCCUCCCAUGCAGGCCCAUAGCUCUGCUGGCCUUUGUUCUCAGGCCCUUCAGAUUCCUGGGAACAUAAAGCCCAAAGGGAUCUCCCUGCAGCCAACCAGCAAGCAGGGCUUCUGCCCAAAGUGCUCUGGUGUUGCAGUCCACUCUGUGCAUGGAAGAAACUGCACACGAUUUCCGCCGCCCUUCCUGCAGAGCACCCCUUUCCAGAAGUCGCUUGCUCAGAGUGACGGGUGCACCUCCAACGCCACUGAAGGUUCCUGCACCUUCAGGGUGGGCUAUUUCAAGCCCAUUUUAAAUGGCUCUUACACAGGCUCAGCAACCUUCAUGGCCUACAGGCUGGGCCCUCUGCUGUCUCUUUCUUUUCUUGAAACCUUGAGGUCUUUCUAGAGAUCUACCCAAAUUACUUUUUUUUGCCACAGUGGCACGACAACUGAAGCAAUUUGUGUUACUUUCCAAGAUGACAAUUUGACAUUAAUUGGGGGGGGGAAGCGAGAUGACCUAAAAUGCAUCUCUUUUGAAAAAGCUGCAGUUUUCAAGUCAAAGUUUGUUUUAUGUGUAUAAAUUCCCGGUUGGGCAUUUUGUCAUUUGGAUUAGCUUGAGAGAAAGAAUGUGAAAUGUCUCAAAUUAAAUGUUUCCCUCUCAAAAUUAGACACUGCCCUGACCCCGCUCCCCAGCUCCCCAUCAGUGGCAGAAAAGACUGCAAUUGGCCUUCUUGCUUUUUCAAAAUUACUGAUAUAUCCAUCCUCACCGGCCCUUAAAGCCCUGUAAAACUUUUUAAACUUUAGCCUUUAUGUCAGAUUAGAGAAACCAAACAACGUGACGGUAAAUGUGAUGAAAAGCGCUGAGUUUAUUUUUCUCCUGCUUAUGAACAUGUAUUUAUAUUUGCCGAAUGAAAAUCGUGGUGUGUUGCUUCGAUGAGUGGAAUUUCAGGCUCUCCCUUCGUACAGCCAGUGGGCAAAGGUCACCUUAAAUGACUUUCUCUCCCCAUUUGUUUGUUAAUCCCCAGACUGGUUGCAUUUUCCAGUUGCUUCCGGGUGUCUGUAAAUAGUUUGUCUUUGUAUAGGAGUGAGUGUGGUGACUGUCAACAACCCCCUGAUCUCCUGGGUUCUAAUUUACCAGAUGAUGGCUGUAUGAGAAGACAAUGUAAAUAGAGAAUACAAAUUGAACUGGAUCUCUGUGGCCUAGGUUUUGUACAUACAGAAACUGCAUGGUAUUUAAAUUAUUGUUUGUCUCUGAUGAUGUAUGCAGUUUCUUUAAAAACAAACCAAAAAAAGUCUUAAAAAAAAA